Molecule: ribosomal RNA, 112 nt
Filed under: Metschnikowia reukaufii
Lineage: Eukaryota; Fungi; Ascomycota; Pichiomycetes; Serinales; Metschnikowiaceae
Also listed under: 1 other name
Description: 5.8S ribosomal RNA
Rfam family: 5.8S ribosomal RNA
About the family: 5.8S ribosomal RNA (5.8S rRNA) is a component of the large subunit of the eukaryotic ribosome. It is transcribed by RNA polymerase I as part of the 45S precursor that also contains 18S and 28S rRNA. Functionally, it is thought that 5.8S rRNA may be involved in ribosome translocation.
Source: RNAcentral
AAAACUUUCAACAACGGAUCUCUUGGUUCUCGCAUCGAUGAAGAACGCAGCGAAUUGCGAUACGUAAUAUGACUUGCAGACGUGAAUCAUUGAAUUUUUGAACGCACAUUGC